RNAcentral lists this long non-coding RNA (240 nucleotides) under Physcomitrium patens. RNAcentral's name for it is "long non-coding RNA (PPAT_LNC008824)". Lineage: Eukaryota; Viridiplantae; Streptophyta; Bryopsida; Funariales; Funariaceae. The record is from RNAcentral.
UCUUUGUGGAAAUUUUUAUUUGAUGUUAGAAGUUGUAGACUACCUACCUUUAAACAAAAAAAUCUUAUUUUUUAAUACUGAUUUUUUUUUUCAAAUAGAAUAGAUUAUCCUUCUUUGUGGAAAUUUUCAUUUGGUAUUAGAGAUUAUAGAUUAUCUCCUUCCAAUUUAACUUUUUGAAUUUAUUUGAUUUUUUUACUGAAGUUAGAUUCAUAACUACACUUCUAUCAAGAAGUAUUCUUU